ACUAGGCCAAAAGAUUCGUCUCAUAAAUUUCGACCAAACUGUACAAUUACUUUUUAUUUUCAUCUAUAUUUAAUACUCAAUGCAUGUGUCUAAAAAUUCGAUGUGACGGAAAAUCUUGAAAAUUUUUGGGUUUUGGGGUGGAAGUAAACAAGGCCUUACAACAAAACUACAACAAUUCAUCACACAGUACGUAUGCAAUGGUUUUUUUUUGAGUAAACAGGAGGGGCAAGGCCCCUACUGAAAAUGAAUUAAACCCAGAAAGAGUUCGAGUACAAAAACAGAGAAGGAUUAGAGAAAGAGGACAAGGCUAGCCUAGGAAACAAAAAAAGAAACAAAGAAAAGACUCCAC
This 349-nucleotide long non-coding RNA is filed under the name Sorghum bicolor (sorghum). RNAcentral's name for it is "long non-coding RNA (SBIC_LNC001915)". Lineage: Eukaryota; Viridiplantae; Streptophyta; Magnoliopsida; Poales; Poaceae. The record is from RNAcentral.